Molecule: ribosomal RNA, 467 nt
Filed under: uncultured bacterium
Lineage: Bacteria
Description: partial 16S ribosomal RNA
Rfam family: Bacterial small subunit ribosomal RNA
Source: RNAcentral
GACGAACGCUGGCGGCGUGCUUAACACAUGCAAGUCGAACGGAAAGGCCCUGCUUUUGUGGGGUGCUCGAGUGGCGAACGGGUGAGUAACACGUGAGUAACCUGCCCUUGACUUUGGGAUAACUUCAGAAAACUGGGGCUAAUACCGGAUAGGAGCUCCUGCUGCAUGGUGGGGGUUGGAAAGUUUCGGCGGUUGGGGAUGGACUCGCGGCUUAUCAGCUUGUUGGUGGGGUAGUGGCUUACCAAGGCUUUGACGGGUAGCCGGCCUGAGAGGGUGACCGGCCACAUUGGGACUGAGAUACGGCCCAGACUCCUACGGGAGGCAGCAGUGGGGAAUAUUGCACAAUGGGCGGAAGCCUGAUGCAGCAACGCCGCGUGCGGGAUGACGGCCUUCGGGUUGUAAACCGCUUUCGCCUGUGACGAAGCGUGAGUGACGGUAAUGGGUAAAGAAGCACCGGCUAACUACGU